This 2547-nucleotide long non-coding RNA is filed under the name Sus scrofa (pig). RNAcentral's name for it is "lncRNA (ENSSSCG00030024509.1)". Lineage: Eukaryota; Metazoa; Chordata; Mammalia; Artiodactyla; Suidae. The record is from RNAcentral.
AUGAAGACAAAGCCAUUUUCAAACAUUCGAUUGGCGAAAUCUGCACGCUUAGCUAACACUUUCAUUUUCAGAGCUGCCGGUGGCUGUAUGCAGGUCCAGAAAAUCGACUGUGUUUCCUGGUGGAUUCCACCCAGGGAAGAGAGCCCUGGGAAUGCCCAGACACGUUUGUUGGAAGGAAUGGAUGAGUGGCUAACAGGCGAGCCCCCAGGAUGCAAACGCAUUUACCAAUUCACUGGCAGAAAUCUUAGCUGCCUCUUCUGGAAGCCACCAUUCGGCCCAGCCGGGACAGAAAAAGAGCCACUCUCCAUUGUACUGGCCAGGAGGUGUGCAAAUGCAGUUGUGCAGAUGCUUACCGCUGCUGUAAUCCAGCAUGUCCACACCGUAACCAUCAGACCUGGCUGGGUUGGGGCCCUGUCAGAGAGACAGGGAAGCGUCAGAUAGGGAAGGCUGGGAAGAAGGAUGCAGCGGGAGGCCCCCCACAGCCGAGGCUGAAAGGCAUCAUGGACGCUUUGGGCUACCACUUCCAAUGUUUUGCCUAAUGUUUAGGGUAUUCAUGGGGUUUGUGCAAGUGUGUCCACAGGCCCCUGUAGCCAGAACAUGGGACUAGGCUUUCUGAAGACCGUGCAUUCCGGCGCUGACUUUUCCUAUCAAUGGGAGAGACGUGGGCUAUUGACCUAGCGGCCUUCUCUUCUCCAUCUAUUGUCGCGGCUCAAUCACGCACUUACCAGAAGAAAAGCGAGUUUAUCUUAGCCUGGAGGAGCCUCAGGUUGCGUGUGUGUGACUAAAGGGUGGGGGAAGUUCUGCAGCCACGACUCUGCAGAUGGGUUGAGGAUAGACACUUUCAGAAAAGGGCCAAUUUCCCCUUCACAAUGAGCGCUAAGUACGUGAUAAAUGGGGCUGGUGUUUAUUCAUGAGCAGGUACUUGGGAGAUGGCGAUUAGAACGGCCGCCCGCGCCGCCUCGCCAAGGUACUUAAAGCCGGGCAGGUGCAGCGCUGCGCGCAGCCCGAGCGCACAAAGCCCGCGGCCACAGCGGCGUGGGGAGGGGCGUGAGUGCGGGCCGCGCGGGGCCCUGAGGGCGCGCGGCGCGCAGGCACCUUAGCCCUUUGUUCCUCCACCGAAGCCAAGGCCACUUCACCGAGGGGCGUCCCGGAAAACCUCCCCUCUAAUUACAAAGAAUUCCGCUUCGUCCCUCCUCCCAGAGUCCAGCCGGGCAACUCAUGGCCCGGAGGACGCGGGGACUCAGCGUGAGACCAGGCUGGGCAUUUGCGUAAAUGCCGCCUGUAAGCUGGCUCUUAGCUACCCAACUAAGUAACGCAACAACUAGGAAAGCAGCAGAACCCGGGCCUGGGAACAGCGCGGGCACGCGGCUCUAGCCGCCCCCGCCGCCGAGGCGCCACCUCUGGCCGUGCGGGUAACCUCGGGCUUUCAGGUUUUGUUUCAACUCCAAGGGGAGAAAAUUGGGGUCUGUCUCUUUCCACAGCUUCCUGGCGCCAAGGUCGUGGGACAGACCCGAUCUCGCCCUUAGAGUGGCUCCGGAAUCCCUAAGAACCUCCAGCUUUGGCCCACGAUCGGUGGCCCCGGUGUGCGGGGAGAGAGCGCAGCUGGCACGCAGGCCUUGGGGGACCUAGAGCUUGGUCCUCUGCGUGUCUGGACAUUGAGCGGUGGAGUGUUUCCCGCGGGGCAACCUAUGACUCUCAUCCCCCUGGCCUCGUGCCCACCCACCCCACCUAGCCCCACCCCCCCAGCAGCUAGGGUGCUUCGUAUGCGCCAUGUCCAGCGGUCGGCGGUAUAGGUACUCUCGACCUGAUACCUCGGGCUUGUCUGGUUGCCAUUAAAAAUAUAUAUAUAUAUAUAUAUAUAUAUAUAUGUAUGUAUGUAUUUCGAAAACAGAUAAUUCCUCUCCGGUUCGGAGAGGAAAAUCUGUUUCAAACAAGUUGGAUUCCCCGUGGGGAGAAAAUUCUUUUGGCCAUAGAUAAAGGGCAGGGACCUGAGGUGACCCAUCACAAGGCAGUGUUUUCAUUUUUCCACCGAGAAGAGCCGACUGCUCUUCCAUUCAAUGCAGGCUGACCAAGAGAUUACAGAUAUUAACAUCCAUUACAGAUUUUUCUUGGAACUUUGGGGUUAGAAUACACUGCAGAAAGAAUAAUCUCGAUUCCUGGGGAAAUCAGACAUCUGGGAUGUGAGCACAAACCAAAAAUGGUAACCAAGAGGCACAGCAGGAAGACGGGCAGAGGCCAGCUCAGUGCCCAUGACCCUAAACUCGUUGCCACCAGCCAGCCCCCAGCCAAGCGGGACUGAGAGCCAGACACGUUCGAUCGCAGUUAAAAGGGAUCGCUAAAGAAGCAAGGCUCCCCCUUCCGCUGGGACCUGAGUUAGGGUUCGAGGGCGAAGCGUUCUCAUGGGUUAGAGCCUUCAUCCCCAGCUCCAGGGAGACACUGGGGGAUUUCGGGACAGCGGGCGAGCCCCAGAGAGUCCGAGAUGCCAGAUGCGGCCCCUUGCCGCCAGAUGCAGCGUUUCCAAGGCCGUGCAAACAGCCUCACGGCGCC